AACGAACGCUGGCGGCAUGCCUAACACAUGCAAGUCGAACGAGACCUUCGGGUCUAGUGGCGCACGGGUGCGUAACGCGUGGGAACCUGCCCUUAGGUUCGGAAUAACUCCCCGAAAGGGGUGCUAAUACCGGAUAAUGUCUUCGGACCAAAGAUUUAUCGCCUUUGGAUGGGCCCGCGUUGGAUUAGCUAGUUGGUAGGGUAAAAGCCUACCAAGGCGACGAUCCAUAGCUGGUCUGAGAGGAUGAUCAGCCACACUGGGACUGAGACACGGCCCAGACUCCUACGGGAGGAGGCAGUGGGGAAUAUUGGACAAGGGGCGAAAGCAUGAUCCAGCAAGGCCGCGUGAGUGAUGAAGGCCUUAGGGUUGUAAAGCUCUUUUACCCGGGAUGAUAAUGACAGUACCGGGAGAAUAAGCUCCGGCUAACUCCGUG
Molecule: ribosomal RNA, 433 nt
Filed under: uncultured bacterium
Lineage: Bacteria
Description: partial 16S ribosomal RNA
Rfam family: Bacterial small subunit ribosomal RNA
Source: RNAcentral